AGAAACUCAACUUUUUCUUUAAGGACUUUUUUGCUACCUUUCCUACAAAAACUACCAGAUUACUUCUUGACCUCUACUUUGAGACCUCUACUUUGAGGAAGUCUUGCUGUACAAUAUUGCCUUAGUAGCUCUGACGCUUACAGAAGAUCUGUCAUAAACCAAAUAAGUACGUGAGACAACCCAGGACAACUUCCUAAAAUUUUCUUCAAAACGAAGGUAUUUAAUAUAUGGUUUUCAUAUACAGAUACAGAAAUAUUGUGUUACAGGACCCAAAGAAAAAGAAGAAACAUUAGUUGCAGACUCUAGAAGUGGGUUUGUCGUGCAUGUAUUAUGAAUUGGUUGUUGAAUUAAAUUAGUGGUUCAGAAGUAUCUAUUUAAAUCCAUAUUGUUGACAUUACAGUGAAAGCAGUGAAACUUGUCAGCAGAUGAUUAAGUUUUAUGGUUGAUGUCCACACUUUUGUAGCUUGGGAACAAUAUCAAGUUUCUGGGAAAAACAUCCUUCCUCUCUCCCCACCCUCCCUCUAUCAUAUUAAAUCAGGGUCUCAGCCUAUUGGUGAUGGUUGUGUUCUCCAAAUAAAGAUGUAUCAAAAUCA
Molecule: long non-coding RNA, 593 nt
Organism: Felis catus (domestic cat)
Lineage: Eukaryota; Metazoa; Chordata; Mammalia; Carnivora; Felidae
Exons: 3
Source: RefSeq, a predicted model, not a curated record